Molecule: ribosomal RNA, 429 nt
Filed under: Bacillota bacterium
Lineage: Bacteria; Bacillati; Bacillota
Description: Firmicutes bacterium partial 16S ribosomal RNA
Rfam family: Bacterial small subunit ribosomal RNA
Source: RNAcentral
UAGGGAAUCUUCGGCAAUGGACGGAAGUCUGACCGAGCAACGCCGCGUGAGUGAAGAAGGUUUUCGGAUCGUAAAGCUCUGUUGUUAGAGAAGAACGUUGGUAGGAGUGGAAAAUCUACCAAGUGACGGUAACUAACCAGAAAGGGACGGCUAACUACGUGCCAGCAGCCGCGGUAAUACGUAGGUCCCGAGCGUUGUCCGGAGUUAUUGGGCGUAAAGCGAGCGCAGGCGGUUCUUUAAGUCUGAAGUUAAAGGCAGUGGCUUAACCAUUGUACGCUUUGGAAACUGGAGGACUUGAGUGCAGAAGGGGAGGGUGGAAUUCCAUGUGUAGCGGUGAAAUGCGUAGAUAUAUGGAGGAACACCGGUGGCGAAGGCGGCUCUCUGGUCUGUAACUGACGCUGAGGCUCGAAAGCGUGGGGAGCAAACAGG